GUGAGGAAUUUUCCGCAAUGGGCGAAAGCCUGACGGAGCAAUGCCGCGUGAAGGAUGAAGGCCUAUGGGUUGUAAACUUCUUUUCUCAGAAAAGAAUUAUGACGGUAUCUGAGGAAUAAGCAUCGGCUAACUCUGUGCCAGCAGCCGCGGUAAGACAGAGGAUGCAAGCGUUAUCCGGAAUGAUUGGGCGUAAAGCUGCUGUAGGUUGUUUAAAAAGUAUUAUGUCAAAGAUUAGGGCUUAACCCUAGAUAGGCAGAAUAAACUUUUAAGCUAGAGUUUGGUAGAGGCAGAGGGAAUUCCCGGUGGAGCGGUGAAAUGCGUAGAUAUCGGGAGGAACACCAAAGGCGAAGGCACUCUGCUGGGCCAAUACUAACACUGAGAGACGAAAGCGAGGGGAGCAAAUGGGAUUAGAAACCCGAGUAGUCC
This 426-nucleotide ribosomal RNA is filed under the name uncultured bacterium. Its description in RNAcentral is "partial 16S ribosomal RNA". It matches the Rfam family "Bacterial small subunit ribosomal RNA", at positions 354 to 796 of the family's 1533-position model. The record is from RNAcentral.